This 253-nucleotide ribosomal RNA is filed under the name uncultured bacterium. RNAcentral describes it as "partial 16S ribosomal RNA". It matches the Rfam family "Bacterial small subunit ribosomal RNA", at positions 524 to 776 of the family's 1533-position model. The record is from RNAcentral.
UGCGAAGGGGACUAGCGUUGUUCGGAAUCACUGGGCGUAAAGCGCACGUAGGCGGAUGUGUCAGUCAGGGGUGAAAUCCCGGGGCUCAACCUCGGAACUGCCUUUGAUACAGCACGUCUCGAGUCCGGAAGAGGUGGGUGGAAUUCCUAGUGUAGAGGUGAAAUUCGUAGAUAUUAGGAAGAACACCGGUGGCGAAGGCGGCCCACUGGUCCGGUACUGACGCUGAGGUGCGAAAGCGUGGGGAGCGAACAGG